GUAACUGCCAAUGUGUCCUUAUGGAGACCCUGCUGUGGAAAUCUUAUGGUAUCAACAUUAUGCAAAGAUCUUUUGGUCAAAGACCGUAAAGAAAGUAUUGGCAGCCAGCUUGGAGCUGAUGAGUCAUGAAGAACAGAGAGCAUAUCCACGGAAAGCUGGGAGAUGGUGUAUGCCAUGGGCCCUGUCUAGAAGCUGCUAUCUCAUGCAGUCUCCUCAGUCAAUGCCAAAGCUGCAGGCUAUGUAAAGUGAGUGUAAUAGUUCAAAAUGGACACCGCUUGCAGAACCAGUUCAAAAUGGAUACCGCUGGGAUUGAUUUUGUGACAUGCACAAAUACAGGACAAUAUAGAUACAUUCACACUUUUCAUCUUAGCCUCUUGCUUACACCAUGUAUUUAUAGGUUUUUGGACAUAUAAUUCAAUUAUUUCUGGAAGUCUUUGUGUUUUGCCAGUUCAUCAUUUCUGUUAUAACAAAACUGUAAAUUAGGUUAUCGUUUGAAUCACCAAACCUAUGUGGAUGCAUUGUAUUUAUUCCUGAGUUUUAACAGUGCCAGGUCGAAUACAGAACACAGAAUAAAGGGCCUUGGACUGGA
This is a long non-coding RNA of Hemicordylus capensis (graceful crag lizard), 589 nucleotides long. RefSeq lists it as uncharacterized. Lineage: Eukaryota; Metazoa; Chordata; Lepidosauria; Squamata; Cordylidae. The transcript has 3 exons. The record is from RefSeq and is a predicted model, not a curated record.